UGGUGAAAUAUUUAUAUUGUUAGUAGCAUAAUUUAGUUAUUCUUUUUUAUAGGCUGUGAAAAUUUAGAUAUAAAAUAGGAUUAGAUACCCUAUUAUACUUUAUUAAAAAUUUUGUGCUUGAUUAGUAAUCAGUUAUUUUCUUGAAACUUAGAGGAUUUGGCGGUAUUCAAGUCUAGUUAGAGGAACCUGCUCAGUAAACGAUAUGCCCCGUAAAAUCUUUCUUUAUUUUGUUUCCAGUUUGUAUACCGCCAUUAUUAAGUAGUGUUUAUAGAUAAAUAUUGGGAUAAUAUUUUAGUAUAUUAGGUCAAGGUGCAGCUAAUAGUAAAGUUGAAGUGGGUUACAUUUAGUUUUAUUAAAGUCGGAUUUAAAUUUUAUAAUUUUAUUGAAGUUGGAUUUAAUUGUAAUUUUGUUUUAAUAAGGCAUUAUGAUAGUAGCUCUAGAAUAUGUACACAUCGCCCGUCGCUCUCAUUAGUUAAAGU
This 479-nucleotide ribosomal RNA is filed under the name Hymenocera picta. RNAcentral describes it as "partial small subunit ribosomal RNA". Lineage: Eukaryota; Metazoa; Arthropoda; Malacostraca; Decapoda; Palaemonidae. The record is from RNAcentral.